This 60-nucleotide microRNA precursor is filed under the name Caenorhabditis briggsae. RNAcentral describes it as "Cbr-Mir-36-o19_pre stem-loop". Lineage: Eukaryota; Metazoa; Nematoda; Chromadorea; Rhabditida; Rhabditidae. The record is from RNAcentral.
UGUGAAUUUUUGCUGCGGUGUUACAACUAACAUCUGUAUCACCGGGUGAAAAUUCGCAAU